UAAAGGUAUAUGAUGAAUCUCAUUUCUAAAUGGGUAAUUUGCGUCUGAAAUAUCUUUGAUGCUUUUUCACCUUGGAGAACUGAUGCCUUUU
Molecule: small nucleolar RNA, 91 nt
Organism: Amaranthus tricolor (Joseph's coat)
Lineage: Eukaryota; Viridiplantae; Streptophyta; Magnoliopsida; Caryophyllales; Amaranthaceae
Source: RefSeq, a predicted model, not a curated record